This 504-nucleotide ribosomal RNA is filed under the name uncultured bacterium. RNAcentral describes it as "partial 16S ribosomal RNA". It matches the Rfam family "Bacterial small subunit ribosomal RNA", at positions 29 to 507 of the family's 1533-position model. The record is from RNAcentral.
ACGCACGCUGGCGGCGUGCCUAAUACAUGCCAGUAGAACGCACAGUUUAUACCGUAGCUUGCUACACCAUAAACUGUGAGUUGCGAACGGGUGAGUAACGCGUAGGUAACCUGCCUGGUAGCGGGGGAUAACUAUUGGAAACGAUAGCUAAUACCGCAUAAUAUUGAUUAUUGCAUGAUAAUUGAUUGAAAGAUGCUAUUGCAUCACUACCAGAUGGACCUGCGUUGUAUUAGCUAGUAGGUGAGGUAACGGCUCACCUAGGCGACGAUACAUAGCCGACCUGAGAGGGUGAUCGGCCACACUGGGACUGAGACACGGCCCAGACUCCUACGGGAGGCAGCAGUAGGGAAUCUUCGGCAAUGGACGAAAGUCUGACCGAGCAACGCCGCGUGAGUGAAGAAGGGUUUCGGAUCGUAAAGCUCGGUUGUAAGAGAAGAACGGGUGUGAGAGUGGAAAGUUCACACUGUGACGGUAUCUGACCAGAAAGGGACGGCUAACUACGUG